Molecule: ribosomal RNA, 373 nt
Filed under: uncultured bacterium
Lineage: Bacteria
Description: bacterial SSU rRNA
Rfam family: Bacterial small subunit ribosomal RNA
Source: RNAcentral
UGGCGGAGCAAGCGUUGUUCGGAUUUACUGGGCGUAAAGGGCGCGUACGCGGCCACGACAAGUCACUUGUGAAAUCUCCGGGCUUAACUCGGAACGGUCAAGUGAUACUGUCGGGCUAGAGUGCAGAAGGGGCAACUGGAAUUCUCGGUGUAGCGGUGAAAUGCGUAGAUAUCGAGAGGAACACCUGCGGCGAAGGCGGGUUGCUGGGCUGACACUGACGCUGAGGCGCGAAAGCCAGGGGAGCGAACGGGAUUAGAUACCCCGGUAGUCCUGGCCUUAAACSAUGAAUGCUUGGUGUCUCGGGUUACAUAAUCCCGGGGUGCCGUCGCUAACGCUUUUAGCAUUCCGCCUGGGGAGUACGGUCGCAAGACUG